GACGAACGCUGGCGGCGUGCUUAACACAUGCAAGUCGAACGGAAAGGCCCUGCUUUUGCGGGGUGCCCGAGUGGCGAACGGGUGUGUUACACGUGAGUAACCUGCCCUUGACUUUGGGAUAACUUCAGGAAAGCGGGGCUAAUACCGGAUAGGAGCUCCUGCUGCAUGGUGGGGGUUGGAAAGUAUCGUCUGUUGGGGAUGGACUCGCGGCUUAUCAGCUUGUUGGUGGGGUAGUGGCUUAGCAAGGCUUUGACGGGUGGCCGGCCUGGGAGGGUGAACGGGCACAUUGGGACUGAGGUACGGCGCAGACUCGUACGUGAGGCAGCAGUGGGGAAUAUUGCACAAUGGUCGGAAGCCUGAUGCAGCGACGCCGCGUGCGGAAAGACGGCCUUCGGGUUGUAAACCGCUUUCGCCUGAGACGAAGCGGGAGUGACGGUAAUAGGUAAAGAAGCACCGGCUAACUACGUG
This 468-nucleotide ribosomal RNA is filed under the name uncultured bacterium. Its description in RNAcentral is "partial 16S ribosomal RNA". It matches the Rfam family "Bacterial small subunit ribosomal RNA", at positions 28 to 507 of the family's 1533-position model. The record is from RNAcentral.